Molecule: long non-coding RNA, 231 nt
Organism: Xenopus tropicalis (tropical clawed frog)
Lineage: Eukaryota; Metazoa; Chordata; Amphibia; Anura; Pipidae
Exons: 4
Source: RefSeq, a predicted model, not a curated record
UAUAUAAAAAAAAUUAAUAGAGCUGAGGAACCACGCAGACAUUCAGGAAGACACCAACAUCAGAGAGCAACCGAAGAACCAAGCACACAGCAUUCAAGAUGCAGAAGAUGGAGAGAAACACACCAACAGGAGCACGUAACUGAAGAAGCUCAUACAUCCCAGCCACGAACCAGAAGACGUCAAACACACCAACAGGAGGAAGUAACUGAAGAAUCAAGCACGCCCUAUUCA